UACUCCUACGGGAGGCAGCAGUGGGGAAUAUUGGACAAUGGGCGCAAGCCUGAUCCAGCCAUACCGCGUGGGUGAAGAAGGCCUUCGGGUUGUAAAGCCCUUUUGUUGGGAAAGAAAUCCAGCUGGCUAAUACCCGGUUGGGAUGACGGUACCCAAAGAAUAAGCACCGGCUAACUUCGUGCCAGCAGCCGCGGUAAUACGAAGGGUGCAAGCGUUACUCGGAAUUACUGGGCGUAAAGCGUGCGUAGGUGGUCGUUUAAGUCCGUUGUGAAAGCCCUGGGCUCAACCUGGGAACUGCGGUGGAUACUGGACGACUAGAGUGUGGUAGAGGGUAGCGGAAUUCCUGGUGUAGCAGUGAAAUGCGUAGAGAUCAGGAGGAACAUCCAUGGCGAAGGCAGCUACCUGGACCAACACUGACACUGAGGCACGAAAGCGUGGGGAGCAAACAGGAUUAGAUACCCUGGUAGUCCACGCCCUAAACGAUGCGAACUGGAUGUUGGGUGCAAUUUGGCACGCAGUAUCGAAGCUAACGCGUUAAGUUCGCCGCCUGGGGAGUACGGUCGCAAGACUGAAACUCAAAGGAAUUGACGGA
This 592-nucleotide ribosomal RNA is filed under the name uncultured bacterium. RNAcentral's name for it is "bacterial SSU rRNA". It matches the Rfam family "Bacterial small subunit ribosomal RNA", at positions 334 to 917 of the family's 1533-position model. The record is from RNAcentral.